RNAcentral lists this ribosomal RNA (496 nucleotides) under uncultured bacterium. Its description in RNAcentral is "partial 16S ribosomal RNA". It matches the Rfam family "Bacterial small subunit ribosomal RNA", at positions 29 to 507 of the family's 1533-position model. The record is from RNAcentral.
ACGCACGCUGGCGGCGUGCCUAAUACCUGCAAGUUGAGCGCUGAAGGUUGGUACUUGUACCAACUGGAUGAGCAGCGAACGGGUGAGUAACGCGUGGGGAAUCUGCCUUUGAGCGGGGGACAACAUUUGGAAACGAAUGCUAAUACCGCAUAAAAACUUUAAACACAAGUUUUAAGUUUGAAAGAUGCAAUUGCAUCACUCAAAGAUGAUCCCGCGUUGUAUUAGCUAGUUGGUGAGGUAAAGGCUCACCAAGGCGAUGAUACAUAGCCGACCUGAGAGGGUGAUCGGCCACAUUGGGACUGAGACACGGCCCAAACUCCUACGGGAGGCAGCAGUAGGGAAUCUUCGGCAAUGGACGAAAGUCUGACCGAGCAACGCCGCGUGAGUGAAGAAGGUUUUCGGAUCGUAAAACUCUGUUGGUAGAGAAGAACGUUGGUGAGAGUGGAAAGCUCAUCAAGUGACGGUAACUACCCAGAAAGGGACGGCUAACUACGUG